Molecule: long non-coding RNA, 205 nt
Filed under: Mytilus galloprovincialis (Mediterranean mussel)
Lineage: Eukaryota; Metazoa; Mollusca; Bivalvia; Mytilida; Mytilidae
Source: RNAcentral
GCUAAUAGUUAUUAUUUUAGACAAGAGUAAAAACGUUUUAGGGGUUGGUAAAUACUAGCAGAAAAAAUAGGGUUUCCCUUCCAAGAAUGAAAUAUUGAUAACAAAACUGAAUACCAGGAUAAAAUAUAAUGUUAUUCUACUAUCAAUAGUAAAGGUAUUAUUUGUUUGUUUUCUGUAUUUAGCCUCCACAACCCCCACAUCCUCC